UGCGAGUCAUAUGUUCUUCGUGAACAUGGCGUACUGCGCAGUAACACGUGGAUAACCUGCCCUUGGGACCGGGAUAACCCCGGGAAACUGGGGAUAAUACCGGAUAACGCAUAUCUGCUGGAAUGCUUUAUGCGUAAAAUGGAUUUGUCUGCCCAAGGAUGGGUCUGCGGCCUAUCAGGUAGUAGUGGGUGUAAUGUACCUACUAGCCUACGACGGGUACGGGUUGUGAGAGCAAGAGCCCGGAGAUGGAUUCUGAGACAUGAAUCCAGGCCCUACGGGGCGCAGCAGGCGCGAAAACUUUACAAUGCGGGAAACCGUGAUAAGGGGACACCGAGUGCCAGCAUCAUAUGUUGGCUGUCCAGAUGUGUAAAAUACAUCUGUUAGCAAGGGCCGGGCAAGACCGGUGCCAGCCGCCGCGGUAACACCGGCGGCCCGAGUGGUGAUCGUGAUUAUUGGGUCUAAAGGGUCCGUAGCCGGUUUGGUCAGUCCUCCGGGAAAUCUGACGGCUCAACCGUUAGGCUUUCGGUGGAUACUGCCAGACUUGGAACCGGGAGAGGUAAGAGGUACUACAGGGGUAGGAGUGAAAUCUUGUAAUCCCUGUGAGACCACCUGUGGCGA
This 618-nucleotide ribosomal RNA is filed under the name uncultured archaeon. Its description in RNAcentral is "bacterial SSU rRNA". It matches the Rfam family "Archaeal small subunit ribosomal RNA", at positions 52 to 669 of the family's 1478-position model. The record is from RNAcentral.